This 468-nucleotide ribosomal RNA is filed under the name uncultured bacterium. RNAcentral's name for it is "partial 16S ribosomal RNA". It matches the Rfam family "Bacterial small subunit ribosomal RNA", at positions 28 to 507 of the family's 1533-position model. The record is from RNAcentral.
GACGAACGCUGGCGGCGUGCUUAACACAUGCAAGUCGAACGGAAAGGCCCUGCUUUUGUGGGGUGCUCGAGUGGCGAACGGGUGAGUAACACGUGAGUAACCUGCCCUUGACUUUGGGAUAACUUCAGGAAACUGGGGCUAAUACCGGAUAGGAGCUCCUGCUGCAUGGUGGGGGUUGGAAAGUUUCGGCGGUUGGGGAUGGACUCGCGGCUUAUCAGCUUGUUGGUGGGGUAGUGGCUUACCAAGGCUUUGACGGGUAGCCGGCCUGAGAGGGUGACCGGCCACAAUGGGACUGCGAGACGGACCAGACUCGUAUGGGAGGCAGCAGGGGGGAGUAUUGCAGAGUGGGCGGAAGCCUGAUGCAGCAACGCCGCGUGCGUGAUGCCGGCCUUCGGGUUGUAAACCGCUUUCUCCUUUGACGAAGAGUGAGUGACGGUAAUGGGUAAAGAAGCACCGGCUAACUACGUG